RNAcentral lists this ribosomal RNA (518 nucleotides) under Philautus aurantium (Mendolong bubble-nest frog). RNAcentral describes it as "partial 16S ribosomal RNA". It matches the Rfam family "Bacterial large subunit ribosomal RNA", at positions 1850 to 2588 of the family's 2925-position model. The record is from RNAcentral. Lineage: Eukaryota; Metazoa; Chordata; Amphibia; Anura; Rhacophoridae.
AGGUCCAGCCUGCCCAGUGAUAAAUUCAACGGCCACGGUAUCCUAACCGUGCAAAGGUAGCAUAAUCACUUGUUCUUUAAAUAAGGACUAGUAUCAACGGCAUCACGAGAGUCAUACUGUCUCCUUUCCCCCAUCAGUGAAACUGAUCUCCCCGUGAAGAAGCGGGGAUAAAACUAUAAGACGAGAAGACCCCAUGGAGCUUUAAACCCUAAGCAACCUUAUCCCAUACCCCCUCAUAAACACAAAGCCUUGCUCAACGGUUUUAGGUUGGGGUGACCACGGAGUAAAAAUCAACCUCCAAGACGAAAAGAACUAAACCUUUAUCCAAGAAAUACCACUCUAAGAAUUAGAACACUAACGUAUAAUGACCCAACAAUGAUCAACGAACCAAGUUACCCUGGGGAUAACAGCGCAAUCUACUUCAAGAGCCCAUAUCGACAAGUAGGCUUACGACCUCGAUGUUGGAUCAGGAUAUCCCAGUGGUGCAGCCACUACUGAUGGUUCGUUUGUUCAACGAU